This is a long non-coding RNA of Pseudopipra pipra, 2534 nucleotides long. RefSeq lists it as uncharacterized. The transcript has 2 exons. The record is from RefSeq and is a predicted model, not a curated record. NCBI's taxonomy places the organism in Eukaryota, Metazoa, Chordata, Aves, Passeriformes, Pipridae.
UCACACUGUGCUUCCCACGGAUGGAGCCGGAGCGCACCCCGCGCUCUGGAGCUACGUGUCUUGAGUUCAGGAUUUUCCAGCAGAAUAUAAAGUGCUGAUAAGCAACGAGUGUUUCACCUCUGGUUGGUUUUUCAUACACCCAGCAGCAGAAGGCUGGAAAUGAGAGCACUGAUUACAGCACUGAUGGGUAACAAAUAAAUCAGCCUUGAAAAUGUCAGAGGGAAAGGAGAAACCCCCUGAAAAUGCACAUCAGAGGUCUUGAAGGAGAAAUCUGAAUAAACCUGACACUAAUUCCCUCAUCCAUUACAUUUCUUCCACAGCCACAGUGAGCAGGAAUUGCCAUUAUGGCCUUGUGGGUGUCUGUAAUAAUCUUCCCUAAUGGGUAAUUAACCGUGCACAUUUCUGGUAUAAAACCAAAGGUCUCCUAUGACUCCCAUGAGCCAAAUGCAUUUGAUUCUCAUCCUUUUGCCACAUUUUUCAUGCACAGCUCUGCAGGCUGGAUGGUUAAAAUGUUGAGGCAGGUGGGAAAUCUUGUGAUGAAAACAAAGCAGCCGCCUCUGUGGAGGUGGGACACAGCCUGGUCUUCCCUGAUGGGUGUUUGUUUGCCGUCUUCACUGAAUGUAGCACUGAAUGUGGCUUAAACGGUGUGUCCGUGCUCAGACAGGACAGAGGGAUGGACUUAUCCCAAAUGUGAGUGUGACUGAAGGCAAAUAUUCCAUUUCCCAUGACACACGUGAGGGCCAUGGAGCCAGAGGAGACAACGCCACUGCCUGGGAAAUCAAGUGGACAAGGAAAAUGAAGUGGCUGGAGGGAAGAGAUGCUCCAUAGCCAACAAAGGAGCUGGUGUGGAAACGAUGGAGAGAGAUCUGUACCACGGGAAAAGACAAACAUGGAAUUUCUCGUGCUGGAUUAGAUGGAUUGGAAAGAUGGCAGCUGCCAUCCAGGGAUGUAGGAGAGGUGGAACUCACAGACUUCUUAAAGCAGGAGAACCAGAAAGAAAACUAUGGAAGUUGACCAAGUAAGGAAACGCUUAUACAUGAAAAAAUGUUUCCUGGUUUUAAAAAUGAGAUGAAGAUAUUCAGGAAGGACUUAUUGCCACUCGUUCACAUUAACAUAUUCUGGCCUGGGGCAGAGCCCAAGAAUUACUGAAGACAAUCAUUCCUGUGUUUGACUGUGGCCAGUUGUAAGGGCUGGAGUGGGGAACAGGGAUUUGGGGAGGAAAUGAGAAAAACCCAUGAGGGAGAAGAAAAAUUGCUUCUUGCAGCCCAAAAUCUACAGCCUUAAAUUACAACCAAAAGUAGCCCUUCUUGGAAAAGUAUUAAUUAUUUUUCAUAUUUCAGCCCCUAUAUUUCACUGCACUUAACUGAGAAAUUGUCAAUUAAGAUAAUUAGCUAAUUCAGACAAUUUCACUUGUUUAUUUUCAAACAGCACAGGCUGCCUGAGGUUUUUGAACUGCAAGUUCAAACUGCGCCUCACUUAACCACAGCUUUUACUAACCAGAAGUGAUAUAAAUAUUUGAAACUCAAUAUACAUUUGAAACCAAUAAAGGCUUUAAAAAAAUUAAAAUAUUUUAGCAACAAAUCAAAAUGCACAAAUCGAGAUCAAAAAUUGCCUCUGAGAAAACCUCUGUAUCUGGAUAUGAUGGAGGGAAAUGGUUGGUGAUGCCUCAAUUUCUGGGUCACUUAUUUUAAAUCCUUCUGCUCCAGGUCUCUGUGUGUUUGUUAUUUUAGUUCCAUGGUCCCAGAGUGGGUUAUCACAGACCCUCCUGCUCCCACCAAGGAGGCUUCACAGAGACAUUUAUCUGGGAAGAGGCUGUGUGUGAUUCCCAUUUUCUUAGUCCAGGAUUUUCACGGCCUGCCACAACACAUGUGUUUGAUCCCUGGAUGAUCACGGCCUCACCGGAGGAGCAGCAAGGACAAUGGAACAUCCCCAGGCUUGGUGGUUCCUAAACCAGCAGAAAUCCCCAACCACUGCAAGCUCUGAGCAGGUUUCUCCGGAAACCAGGGAACAGGUCAUGGACUGCAUUUCAGGUGCCUACCCACACGUAUGAAAAGAACGUGCAAAAAGGACAAAAAACAAGCAAAGAGUGUGAGUAUAGACCUAGAGAAGGACCAGAGACAGCAGGAAUACUGAGGAGUGUCUCUACACCCAAUGUUUUUGGUUGUUUAUGCCAAAUCCAAGGAAACAGGAUCCCACAUACACUCCCCAUGAAAAGAUAGCAUUGCACUUGCAUUUUUACUUUGGCUUCACUCCUCCCCUCCCCCUUGUAUCAUUUUUAUUUAAUUGCUUCCUUCCCCUUCCCUUUUUCUUCCUCUUUGCCUAUUUCCACCCUUUCACAACAGACAAGAAGCACAGUGCCAUUUACAGCCUUCAGAUCUCCCAGGCCUCACCCUCUGCCCCGGGGGGCUCCACAUUCCACUCACCAGCAGCUCUCUGGAGCAGGGCUGUGCCCAGAGGCCACUGUGCCCUGCUCCCAGUUGGCCAGCCCAGUCCCUAAGUGGGUUAUUAUUGUAAUAAUAAAGAGAUCACAAAUA